Molecule: ribosomal RNA, 484 nt
Filed under: uncultured bacterium
Lineage: Bacteria
Description: partial 16S ribosomal RNA
Rfam family: Bacterial small subunit ribosomal RNA
Source: RNAcentral
AUUGAACGCUGGCGGCAGGCCUAACACAUGCAAGUCGAGCGGAUGAAGGGAGCUUGCUCCUGGAUUCAGCGGCGGACGGGUGAGUAAUGCCUAGGAAUCUGCCUGGUAGUGGGGUAUAACGUCCGGAAACGGGCGCUAAUACCGCAUACGUCCUGAGGGAGAAAGUGGGGGAUCUUCGUACCUCACGCUAUCAUAUUAGCCUAGGUCGGAUUAGCUAGUUGGUGGGGUAAAGGCCUACCAAGGCGACGAUCCGUAACUGGUCUGAGAGGAUGAUAAGUCACACUGGAACUGAGACACGGUCCAGACUCCUACGGGAGGCAGCAGUGGGGAAUAUUGGACAAUGGGCGAAAGCAUGAUAAAGCCAUGCCGCGUGUGUGAAGAAGGUCUUCGGAUUGUAAAGCACUUUAAGUUGGGAGGAAGGGAAGUAAGUUAAUACCUUGCUGUUUUGACGUUACCAACAGAAUAAGCACCGGCUAACUUCGUG